Cicer arietinum (chickpea) is the source of this 1524-nucleotide non-coding RNA. The record is from RefSeq and is a predicted model, not a curated record. NCBI's taxonomy places the organism in Eukaryota, Viridiplantae, Streptophyta, Magnoliopsida, Fabales, Fabaceae.
AAAUAGUUUCACAUAGCCAUCUAGAAUUCAUAUUUGCUUAUAAUUUAUUAUGUCAUUCUUAUGCAUAUCACAUCUUCAUAUGUGCUAUGUGCAAAAGUGCAUAAUUUUUAAUGACAUUUAACGUCCAAUAAAAGCUCUUGGUUUUGUGUUGCACAACACCUUUCUUCUUUCGAGCUUCUCGUCUCUUUAUUCUCCUCUGCACAAUAAUGACUUCAAUUCUAUACAAGGUUUCCUAUUUUGUGCUAAUCCCAUUGUGUGAUUCUUCUCCUUUGUGGAAGAAGGGAAGGGGAUUUUAUUUUCUAGGGUAAGGAAGAAGUGGAUUUUGUUUUCUAGGGUAAGGAAGAAAGGGGUUUUGGUUUCAUAAGAGAAAUUGAGUAACAAACGUGAAUCAAAGCAAGUGGAACGCAUAUUUGAGGAUUGAUGAAAGAGAUCUGCAACCAUGAUAUGAUGGUGGGUCAAAUGGGGUGGAGAAAUAGGCUGGUUUCGGUGGUCUUGCAAGGGUUAGAAGAUGAAGAUACCUCUGUGCAUGAUGUUGGGUUUGGUGAGGAGUUUUUUCUGAAUAGAGAUGUGAGAUCAGGUUCUCAGGUUUACAUAAUAGAAAAAUUAAACUUAUUUAUAUCCAAGGGCUCAAGGUUGAAGUAGUGAUUGAAACAAUUAUUUUGCAUAUAAUUAAUGUGGAAGAAGUCAUCACCAUUUUGAUGUAGUCUAUCCUAGCGUCGCCCAUUGAGGCUAAUAAUGUACUGGUUUACAUAAGAUUCUCCUCUUUACUAGGUUUAAGACACAAUCCUUCACGCUAAGAUUCAUCUGCGGUUUAUGUCAUUGAAGGAGCUUGAACGUGCUAGGUAUUAGUACCUUGGUGUCUAUUUUCUAUCUCUAGUAAACUCAAUUGAUGAAACUGAUCCCUAAAUAUAUCCACGUUAGAUGAAUCCAAUUCUUCACAAAAACAUUUGCAGAGUAGGUUGUGAAUAAUUCCACAUUAGGUUGUGGAAUUAUGAAGAACUAUUCUUUUAUUAUCUGGGGCAUUUACUGCAAUGGCCAUACUGGGAAAGUUGGAUCAGUUAUUGGCACCAAAAGAACUGUCAAUCACAUUGGCACCAUUAGGGGCAAUUUUUUGCUCUCCUAUUUGUCUCUCUUUUAACCCCUUCUGUCGGGAUACUACUACUGCUGCUAUCUCUUUUUAGGCCUUAUUGUGACAAAUAUCAUUGAUGCGGUGUGUAAGUUGAGUUUGAGUUUGUUAAAUAGCUCCAUAUAUGGUUUUCUUUAAUUGUGAUUAUGCAGAAGUUCAAUAUGUUGAUGGCCCAAAUAGGUUGUGCAGCCAUUGGUGUUUUGGCGUUUACAAUAUUUGGAGUUCUAGUCUUGCAGCUUGUGUUGAAAUUUAUUACCUUAGGUCUGUGACAUCUUUGGUGUGUGUGUUUUCUUUAAUUAUCAUAUGGCUAAAUCUUGAAAUUUUAGUUUGAUUUUAGUUUAGAUUGGUUUAAACUAGUUUCUCAAGUUAAUGAUUUCAAUGGUUGUUUAGAUUGCUUA